UACUCUGGUGAAGGAACUAGGCAAAAUAGUACCGUAACUUCGGGAGAAGGUACGCCCCUAGUACGUGAAGGCCCAGCGGCCGGAGCGGACGGGGGUUGCAGUGACCAGGUGGCUGCGACUGUUUACUAAAAACACAGCACUCUGCAAACGCGUAAGCGGACGUAUAGGGUGUGACGCCUGCCCGGUGCCGGAAGGUUAAGUGAUGGGGUUAGCCGCAAGGCGAAGCUCUUGAUCGAAGCCCCGGUAAACGGCGGCCGUAACAAUAACGGUCCUAAGGUAGCGAAAUUCCUUGUCGGGUAAGUUCCGACCUGCACGAAUGGCGUAACGAUGGCCACGCUGUCUCCACCAGAGACUCAGUGAAAUUGAAAUCUCGGUUAAGAUGCCGAGUACCCGCGGCUAGACGGAAAGACCCCGUGAACCUUUACUAUAGCUUCACACGGGACUUUGAAUCGACUUGUGUAGGAUAGGUGGGAGGCUAGGAAGCCCGGACGCCAGUUCGGGUGGAGCCACCCUUGAAAUACCACCCUGGUCGAUUUGGAGUUCUAACCCAGGCCCGUCAUCCGGGUCGGGGACAGUGUGUGGUGGGUAGUUUGACUGGGGCGGUCUCCUCCCAAAGAGUAACGGAGGAGCACGAAGGUACCCUCAGCGCGGUCGGAAAUCGCGCAGUGAGUGCAAAGGCAUAAGGGUGCUUGACUGCGAGACAGACACGUCGAGCAGGUACGAAAGUAGGUCUUAGUGAUCCGGUGGUUCUGUAUGGAAGGGCCAUCGCUCAACGGAUAAAAGGUACUCCGGGGAUAACAGGCUGAUACCGCCCAAGAGUUCAUAUCGACGGCGGUGUUUGGCACCUCGAUGUCGGCUCAUCACAUCCUGGGGCUGAAGUCGGUCCCAAGGGUAUGGCUGUUCGCCAUUUAAAGUGGUACGCGAGCUGGGUUUAGAACGUCGUGAGACAGUUCGGUCCCUAUCUGCCGUGGGCGUUGGAGAUUUGCGGGAAGCUGCUCCUAGUACGAGAGGACCGGAGUGGACGUACCCCUGGUGUUCCGGUUGUCAUGCCAGUGGCAUUGCCGGGUAGCUACGUACGGACGGGAUAACCGCUGAAAGCAUCUAAGCGGGAAGCCCCUCCCAAGAUGAGAUCUCCCUGGACCCUUGAGGUCCCUAAAGGUCCGUCACAGACUAUGACGUGGAUAGGCGGGAUGUGGAAGCGCGGUAACGCGUGCAGCUAACCCGUACUAAUUGACCGUGCGGCUUGACCCU
RNAcentral lists this ribosomal RNA (1251 nucleotides) under metagenome. Its description in RNAcentral is "bacterial LSU rRNA". It matches the Rfam family "Bacterial large subunit ribosomal RNA", at positions 1697 to 2925 of the family's 2925-position model. The record is from RNAcentral.